Molecule: ribosomal RNA, 529 nt
Filed under: Staphylococcus aureus
Lineage: Bacteria; Bacillati; Bacillota; Bacilli; Caryophanales; Staphylococcaceae
Description: bacterial SSU rRNA
Rfam family: Bacterial small subunit ribosomal RNA
Source: RNAcentral
UUUAUGGAGAGUUUGAUCCUGGCUCAGGAUGAACGCUGGCGGCGUGCCUAAUACAUGCAAGUCGAGCGAACGGAUGAGAAGCUUGCUUCUCUGAUGUUAGCGGCGGACGGGUGAGUAACACGUGGAUAACCUACCUAUAAGACUGGGACAACUUCGGGAAACCGGAGCUAAUACCGGAUAAUAUUUUGAACCGCAUGGUUCAAAAGUGAAAGACGGUCUUGCUGUCACUUAUAGAUGGAUCCGCGCUGCAUUAGCUAGUUGGUAAGGUAACGGCUUACCAAGGCAACGAUGCAUAGCCGACCUGAGAGGGUGAUCGGCCACACUGGAACUGAGACACGGUCCAGACUCCUACGGGAGGCAGCAGUAGGGAAUCUUCCGCAAUGGGCGAAAGCCUGACGGAGCAACGCCGCGUGAGCGAUGAAGGUCUUCGGAUCGUAAAACUCUGUUAUUAGGGAAGAACAUAUGUGUAAGUAACUGUGCACAUCUUGACGGUACCUAAUCAGAAAGCCACGGCUAACUACGUGCCAGC